AAGGGGAGUGCUGGAUCCUGGGCUGUGUCCCCCUGCACUCUGGGCUCCAGGGCCUGCGCGCUGGAAUUGUGCUCUGGGGGCCGCGCAGCCCCCU
RNAcentral lists this microRNA precursor (94 nucleotides) under Canis lupus familiaris (dog). RNAcentral's name for it is "mir-8799 microRNA precursor family". It matches the Rfam family "mir-8799 microRNA precursor family". The record is from Rfam by way of RNAcentral. RNAcentral also lists the same sequence under 1 other name. Lineage: Eukaryota; Metazoa; Chordata; Mammalia; Carnivora; Canidae.